RNAcentral lists this long non-coding RNA (235 nucleotides) under Homo sapiens (human). Its description in RNAcentral is "non-protein coding LINC01676:27". The record is from RNAcentral. Lineage: Eukaryota; Metazoa; Chordata; Mammalia; Primates; Hominidae.
AAUACAGGAGUGUUUAUGGUUGGGUUGAGACACAUUCAGUAGCUGAGUGAUUGACAGCAAGAGGAGCAAGACAUGAGGAGCUGGUGACACAGUUAUUAUGGAAGGAUAACUGAUAGUCUUAAGUUAAUAAUUAUCAAAUAUAUGGCAAUGCUGGACUUUAGCUGAUCAUCGUGCUUCUGGAAAACAACAAAAAUUGAGAUAUCUGUUCACCACUUUGUGUGUCCAAGGACCACCU